RNAcentral lists this ribosomal RNA (253 nucleotides) under uncultured bacterium. RNAcentral's name for it is "partial 16S ribosomal RNA". It matches the Rfam family "Bacterial small subunit ribosomal RNA", at positions 524 to 776 of the family's 1533-position model. The record is from RNAcentral.
UACGUAGGGUGCAAGCGUUAAUCGGAAUGACUGGGCGUAAAGGGUGCGCAGGCGGUCUGCUAAGACAGAGGUGAGAUCCCCGGGCUUAACCUGGGAAUGGCAUUUGGGACUGCAAGGCUGGAGUGCGGCAGAGGAGACUGGAAUUCCUGGUGUAGCAGUGAAAUGCGUAGAUAUCAGGAGGAACACCUGUGGUGUAGACAGCUUACUGGACCACUUCUGACGCUGAGACACGAAAGCGUGGGUAGCAAACAGG